AUAAGAGGAAGGGCGGUGUGAAAGGAGAAUGCGGUAGGCGACUAACUUGGUUUGUUGAUAUGGUUUGGUUUGUUUGCCACUGGGGCUCACUGUCUGCACAGCUCUGUUCUUGGCAACCAAUUUUGGUCUU
Molecule: microRNA precursor, 130 nt
Filed under: Erinaceus europaeus (western European hedgehog)
Lineage: Eukaryota; Metazoa; Chordata; Mammalia; Eulipotyphla; Erinaceidae
Description: miRNA (ENSEEUG00000019438.1)
Source: RNAcentral